Molecule: ribosomal RNA, 716 nt
Filed under: uncultured bacterium
Lineage: Bacteria
Description: bacterial SSU rRNA
Rfam family: Bacterial small subunit ribosomal RNA
Source: RNAcentral
GGGAUAAUCCGGAGAAAUCCGGUCUAAUACCGCAUAAUAUCGUGAAUCUGCAUGGAUUUGCGAUUAAAGGAGCGAUCCGGUGACGGAUGGGCAUGCGUGACAUUAGCUAGUCGGCGGGGUAACGGCCCACCGAGGCGACGAUGUCUAGGGGUUCUGAGAGGAAGGUCCCCCACACUGGUACUGAGACACGGACCAGACUCCUACGGGAGGCAGCGGUGAGGAAUAUUGGUCAAUGGGCUUACGCCUGAACCAGCCAAGUCGCGUGAGGGAAGACUGCCCUAUGGGUUGUAAACCUCUUUUGUCAGGGAGCAACGCCGGCUACGUGUAGCCGGACUGAGAGUACCUGAAGAAAAAGCAUCGGCUAACUCCGUGCCAGCAGCCGCGGUAAUACGGAGGAUGCGAGCGUUAUCCGGAUUUAUUGGGUUUAAAGGGUGCGUAGGCGGAAUGCCAAGUCAGCGGUAAAAUCGCGGGGCUCAACCUCGCUCCGCCGUUGAAACUGGCGUUCUUGAGUGGGCGAGAAGUAUGCGGAAUGCGUGGUGUAGCGGUGAAAUGCAUAGAUAUCACGCAGAACUCCGAUUGCGAAGGCAGCAUACCGGCGCCCAACUGACGCUGAAGCACGAAAGCGUGGGUAUCGAACAGGAUUAGAUACCCUGGUAGUCCACGCAGUAAACGAUGAAUACAAGGUGUUCGGGGCAAAUGAGCCUUGAGUGGCACAG